AUGGGAGUGGCUACUUGGCAUGGAGAUUGAAGCACCUGCAAAAGGAGGAUGCAGAGGGAAGAAUAAAGUGCCCUCGUAGAUCACUAACAGCUAAGGAUGCUGGCUGUACCAGUGAAAUACAAAGAUGAGAAGAAGUUCAUUUUUUCAUUGACUUUCAAUGACUUCUUGGAAGGAGUUGUCAAGAAGUGUAUCCUGCCUACCAUGGACUUAAAAGUCUACAAUGAAUCUGAGACAGAAGUAGAUGAAGAAGUGUUCCAGUUUCAUCUUUAGA
Long non-coding RNA from Coregonus clupeaformis (lake whitefish), 271 nucleotides. RefSeq lists it as uncharacterized. Lineage: Eukaryota; Metazoa; Chordata; Actinopteri; Salmoniformes; Salmonidae. The transcript has 3 exons. The record is from RefSeq and is a predicted model, not a curated record.